Nothobranchius furzeri (turquoise killifish) is the source of this 830-nucleotide non-coding RNA. NCBI's taxonomy places the organism in Eukaryota, Metazoa, Chordata, Actinopteri, Cyprinodontiformes, Nothobranchiidae. The record is from RefSeq and is a predicted model, not a curated record.
CUAAAAAAAAAAUUAAAAAUAAAAAAAAAACAGAAAAAUGUAGUGUGUUUCUGUGUGUGUGUGUGUGUGUGUGCGCGCACGCGCGCGUUCGUUCGUUCGUUCGUUCGUUCGUGUCUCCCAGGCUAGUGAGUACUGAGGGCUUCAUCUAUCUAAAAGGAGUCAUUUCCAUCUGAAUGUGGCAGCGACGGGACACAGCAGCAGAGCGAGUCCACAUCCAGAAGGCUGGAGCCGUGUUUCACUGACAGGCUCUCAGACUAAAGCCCUGAUGAGCUCAGCUGGGACAAACUGGUCUGAUGUUUAGGAACACAGAACGUUCAGAUGUUGGAGCUUCACGUCACCUACUGAGGAGGAAGGAGACCCACCAGUAAAGAGACGGUAGCUGGACCAGACCAACGUGAGUGAUGACACACCUCAGCCACCCUCAUCAUUAAGAACGCCUCACCCCCUGAAUCACUCCGUCUGAUGACAGCAGAGUGAUUUAUUUGAUGGUUUACUUGUUUAGUCUGUUUAGAAAUUAUUGAAUUACAUUAUUUUCUGUAAUCGACCAUCUGAUCUGGACGUGUGCAGAAUAACUUUCCCCAAAUUCAGCAACAGCUAGCCUACAAAAACAGCUGCAGCAUGUAGUAAGUCUGUCUGCACUGCUCUCUAAUGAGCUUCCUUUCAUAAGGAAUCAUUUGUAUAAUUUUAGUGUCACUAUUUUAUUACAUUUGUAAGAAUAUGAAGUCACUGCAGCAAAGUGAACUUGUGAACAAAGUAAACCAAAACAACACAAACGUGACUAUAAACAUGAAAGCUAAAGAACCAACUUUCCUAAAGCUGCUUGUAAACAA